This 497-nucleotide ribosomal RNA is filed under the name uncultured bacterium. RNAcentral's name for it is "partial 16S ribosomal RNA". It matches the Rfam family "Bacterial small subunit ribosomal RNA", at positions 28 to 507 of the family's 1533-position model. The record is from RNAcentral.
GAUGAACGCUGGCGGCGUGCCUAAUACAUGCCAGUCGAGCGAACAGACGAGGAGCUUGCUCCUCUGACGUUAGCGGCGGACGGGUGAGUAACACGUGGAUAACCUACCUAUAAGACUGGGAUAACUACGGGAAACCGGAGCUAAUACCGGAUAAUAUAUUGAACCGCAUGGUUCAAUAGUGAAAGACGGUGUUGCGGUAACUUAUAGAUGGAUACGGGCCGCAUGAGCUAGUCGGUAAGGUAACGGCUUACCAAGGCAACGAUGCGUAGCCGACCUGAGAGAGGGGUCGGCCACAUGGGAACUGAGACAGCGUCCAGACUCCUACGGGACGCAGCAGUAGGGAAUCUUCCGCAAUGGGCGAAAGCAUGACGGAGUAACGCCGCGCGAGUUAUGAAGGUCCUCGGAUCGUAAAACUCUGUUAUGAGUGAAGAACAAAUGUGUAAGUAACUAUGCACGUCUUGACGGUACCUAAUCAGAAAGCCACGGCUAACUACGUG